This 497-nucleotide ribosomal RNA is filed under the name uncultured bacterium. RNAcentral describes it as "partial 16S ribosomal RNA". It matches the Rfam family "Bacterial small subunit ribosomal RNA", at positions 28 to 507 of the family's 1533-position model. The record is from RNAcentral.
GAUGAACGCUGGCGGCGUGCCUAAUACAUGCAAGUCGAGCGAACAGACGAGGAGCUUGCUCCUCUGACGUUAGCGGCGGACGGGUGAGUAACACGUGGAUAACCUACCUAUAAGACUGGGAUAACUUCGGGAAACCGGAGCUAAUACCGGAUAAUAUAUUGAACCGCAUGGUUCAAUAGUGAAAGACGGUUUUGCUGUCACUUAUAGAUGGAUCCGCGCCGCAUUAGCUAGUUGGUAAGGUAACGGCUUACCAAGGCAACGAUGCGUAGCCGACCGGAGAGGGUGAUCGGCCACACUGGAACUGAGACACGGUCCAGACUCCUACGGGAGGCAGCAGUAGGGAAUCUUCCGCAAUGGGCGAAAGCUUGACGGAGCAACGCCGCGUGAGUGAUGAAGGUCUUCGGAUCGUAAAACUCUGUUAUUAGGGAAGAACAAAUGUGUAAGUAACUAUGCACGUCUUGACGGUACCUAAUCAGAAAGCCACGGCUAACUACGUG